RNAcentral lists this ribosomal RNA (433 nucleotides) under uncultured bacterium. RNAcentral describes it as "partial 16S ribosomal RNA". It matches the Rfam family "Bacterial small subunit ribosomal RNA", at positions 29 to 507 of the family's 1533-position model. The record is from RNAcentral.
AACGAACGCUGGCGGCAUGCCUAACACAUGCAAGUCGAACGAGCCCUUCGGGGUUAGUGGCGCACGGGUGCGUAACGCGUGGGAAUCUGCCCUUGGGUUCGGAAUAACAGUGAGAAAUUACUGCUAAUACCGGAUGAUGUCUUCGGACCAAAGAUUUAUCGCCCAAGGAUGGGCCCGCGUAGGAUUAGCUAGUUGGUGGGGUAAUGGCCUACCAAGGCGACGAUCCUUAGCUGGUCUGAGAGGAUGAUCAGCCACACUGGGACUGAGACACGGCCCAGACUCCUACGGGAGGCAGCAGUGGGGAAUAUUGGACGAUGGGCGAAAGCCUGACACAGCAAUGCCGCGUGAGUGAUGAAGGCCUUAGGGUUGUAAAGCUCUUUUACCCGGGAUGAUAACGACAGUACCGGGAGAAUAAGCUCCGGCUAACUACGUG